RNAcentral lists this ribosomal RNA (292 nucleotides) under uncultured bacterium. RNAcentral describes it as "partial 16S ribosomal RNA". It matches the Rfam family "Bacterial small subunit ribosomal RNA", at positions 505 to 796 of the family's 1533-position model. The record is from RNAcentral.
GUGCCAGCAGCCGCGGUAAAACGUAGGAGACAAACGUUAUCCGGAGUUACUGGGCGUAAAGGGCGUGCAGGUGGUCAUUUAAGUUCGGCGUGAAAGCUCCUGGCUAAACCGGGAGAGGUCGUCGGAGACUGGAUGGCUAGAGGGUGAUAGAGGCGGGUGGAAUUCCGGGUGUAGUGGUGAAAUGCGUAGAGAUCCGGAGGAACACCAGUGGCGAAGGCGACCCGCUGGGUCACACCUGACACUGAGACGCGACAGCAUGGGGAGCGAACGGGAUUAGAAACCCUUGUAGUCC